UAAAAUAAACAGGUCUAAAUCGUAGCGAAUAUUAAAAAAAAAUAUUAAAUACGAAAAAAUAAAGUCUGAUUGGUAGAGAAGGGAGCUGACGUGGCGGAUCUAAGGUCAAAGUCGAAAUUAGGGCUUAAUGCGAUGCUAAGCGGCGAGAUUGACCGGAAAGGCUACGGUUCCAUCACCCCCGGCCCCGAUGAUGGCAGCGCGAGGAGCUUUUUUGUUGAUCACUAUUCAAUCGCCUCGGAUGGACUAAGGCUGUGGUUGUUUCAAUUGCGUCGAUGAACAAAACUUCAGAGGCGGUGGUAUCUCAGAUCGGGUGGAGAAGGAAGGUUCUAAUCCUCAGUCAUCAAUCGCAGCCAAUAGUUCUAGUCUUUAGAAACUUCCUCUGGUUUAUGAUUACUGUUUGAAACGAGCAUGUUUAUUGGCGCAUCUUAUUACGUCUCUUAAAUUUAAUGAGGUAUUGGAAAAAAUGAAUUAAUCUAAUAAGCCACGUAUCUUAUUUAGACGACAGAAAAGCAAAAUCGGUUCCUCUCCCCCUCAGCUUUUCCGAAAUCAUAUCCUUGCCCUAUCUGGUCUUCCUAUUCCGCCACUUCUUCUCUUCUCCUCCCUCCCAUGUCCUCCGCCCUCGCUGAUGAGCAUGUUCGUCCCGGGUUUCGUGCUCAGCUGCAGCGCCUGGAAGGUGAGAACUGGAGCAGUUAGAGAAAUCUGUGGAGUGUCAUCAUGGCCAACACUGAUUGAACUGUUAGAGAAGCUCGUUGAUCGGUUAGGCUAUUCGUGAAUCUUCUGAUUGGUCAUCGAUCAUGCUUGUGUUUCUUCCGGUUCUACUUAUAGUCAGUCACUUCUCAGUUUAAAUGGAGGCAGGCAACCGCUUCUUGAGCUUGAUGCUGCUCUUAGCUUGUCUCAGAAACAUCAGCAGAUUGCAAAGAGAAGGCAACUCAUUGAUUCUAACUCUGCUUUUCAUGGGAACUGUGUUUAAAGCAAAAAAGGACAGAAGCGCAUUCUCGUAUUCAACAGUUUUUUUUUCUAGUGUUUUGUGUUGUUGUGGUCACUAGUUAAAUCAGUAGCUUGUAGUCUAGUGUAGUUUAGAGAGUUUAGAGAGGUAUUCUUCUUUUGACAGUGUGCUCUUAUGGAGUUUAAGAGUUAAGAUUUGAACUCAAACUACGCAAGCUCUAAAAAAAUGAUCAAGCUUUUGGACUAUAGUUUGAGCCAUCGUUUCACCUUUUUUUUUUUUGCAUAUAAGCUCUCGCAGCAGAGCCAGAUUGGGAGUUCAUGAGAGAGAACCAGAGCAAGCUCGCAUUUUUAUUUGGCAUUGAUGAUCAUUGGGGUCCACUGCAACUCUUUGAAGAGAUUUCAAAGCAGGCGCCUGGUACUUCCUUAUCUAUCGAGAGGGAAGGUCACACUCAUGGAUUCUGCUGCACCGUGGCUGGCUCCGUGUGGGUUGCGCAGCACGUAGCCACUCUGAUCAAGAACCGAUUUAAGCAUCUCCAGUAAAUGUUAAAUUUCACGGUCUCUUCUUCCUUAAACCCUUUAAGCCGGUCUGUGAUUUUACAUUCCUGACCAUUAAAAGCGUUUAUAACAAUUAA
Molecule: long non-coding RNA, 1577 nt
Organism: Raphanus sativus (radish)
Lineage: Eukaryota; Viridiplantae; Streptophyta; Magnoliopsida; Brassicales; Brassicaceae
Exons: 3
Source: RefSeq, a predicted model, not a curated record